RNAcentral lists this unclassified non-coding RNA (169 nucleotides) under uncultured Helotiales. RNAcentral describes it as "sequence contains ITS1". The record is from RNAcentral. Lineage: Eukaryota; Fungi; Ascomycota; Leotiomycetes; Helotiales.
CAGAGUUCAUGCCCUUACGGGUAGAUCUCCCACCCUAUGUUAUUAUUACUUUGUUGCUUUGGCGGGCCGUUAGGCCCUUGGCCCGACUACCGGCUUCGGCUGAUAAGCGCCCGCCAGAGGACCCCUAAACUCUGUUUGUUAAUGUCGUCUGAGUACUAUUUAAUAGUUA